UACGGAGGGGGCUAGCGUUGUUCGGAAUUACUGGGCGUAAAGCGCACGUAGGCGGCUUUGUAAGUUAGAGGUGAAAGCCCGGGGCUCAACCCCGGAAUAGCCUUUAAGACUGCAUCGCUUGAACACGGGAGAGGUGAGUGGAAUUCCGAGUGUAGAGGUGAAAUUCGUAGAUAUUCGGAAGAACACCAGUGGCGAAAGGCGGCUCAC
RNAcentral lists this ribosomal RNA (207 nucleotides) under uncultured bacterium. RNAcentral's name for it is "partial 16S ribosomal RNA". It matches the Rfam family "Bacterial small subunit ribosomal RNA", at positions 524 to 729 of the family's 1533-position model. The record is from RNAcentral.